Molecule: ribosomal RNA, 440 nt
Filed under: uncultured Pseudomonas sp.
Lineage: Bacteria; Pseudomonadati; Pseudomonadota; Gammaproteobacteria; Pseudomonadales; Pseudomonadaceae
Description: bacterial SSU rRNA
Rfam family: Bacterial small subunit ribosomal RNA
Source: RNAcentral
GGAAUAUUGGACAAUGGGCGAAAGCCUGAUCCAGCCAUGCCGCGUGUGUGAAGAAGGUCUUCGGAUUGUAAAGCACUUUAAGUUGGGAGGAAGGGUUGUAGAUUAAUACUCUGCAAUUUUGACGUUACCGACAGAAUAAGCACCGGCUAACUCUGUGCCAGCAGCCGCGGUAAUACAGAGGGUGCAAGCGUUAAUCGGAAUUACUGGGCGUAAAGCGCGCGUAGGUGGUUUGUUAAGUUGGAUGUGAAAUCCCCGGGCUCAACCUGGGAACUGCAUUCAAAACUGACUGACUAGAGUAUGGUAGAGGGUGGUGGAAUUUCCUGUGUAGCGGUGAAAUGCGUAGAUAUAGGAAGGAACACCAGUGGCGAAGGCGACCACCUGGACUAAUACUGACACUGAGGUGCGAAAGCGUGGGGAGCAAACAGGAUUAGAUACCCGAG